This is a non-coding RNA of Cyanistes caeruleus (blue tit), 6690 nucleotides long. Lineage: Eukaryota; Metazoa; Chordata; Aves; Passeriformes; Paridae. The record is from RefSeq and is a predicted model, not a curated record.
UUUUUUUUUUUUAUUUGCUCAUAUCCCUGCAGUAUUGAAAAACCCGCACUAUUUCAAGAGCUUAGAUGUGUCUAUUUCUUUAGAGUCUUAAGCAGACAAGAAAACUAAAACUUUUUUUUUUUUCUGUAUCAAUGACUUUUAAAAGCCUCCCCAGGAGGAAAAGGAAGCCACUGGAUAGGGCCAAUAUCAAAGCUGAAGAAUAAAGAUGACAGGUCAAGAGACACUUCUGUUUACAUCAGCAUGCUCUGGACCAAUGUACCAGAGAAUACAUCAAAGCCACUACUAAUGCCAGCUCUGGAUCUCUUUUCUAGCACAUGAAACAUUUUGAAAUAUUUUCCUGACUGCCAUCUAAAGUAAAACAAUUGCAAAGCACUCUCAUUUGAUUGGGAGCAUUUGAACUUUCAGUUUUUCAUAGUUACCCUGGCCUUAUCCAAAACAAACAAUGUCUUUAGGAGAAUGAGACCAGCAAUGCCAAUACAUUGUAGUAACUAUAACCUGUCUACGUGACCAAAUCUUAUAGAUGUUGCUUAAUUUUUUAAUUUACAGAAAGACAAUUUACAGAAAUAAAAGUAAAGAAAAAUUGUCUCUUCCUUCCAGAGCACCCAUAUAGUUGUUCCUACAUAUACCUAUUCUCCCCUUUCCCUCCUCCCAAUAAUUGAUUUGCUCCAUGGCAUCCUGGGAAAGCAGAGAGUUAUGAUCAUUUCCAUUUUGGAAGUCGGGAGGUUGAACGGAGAGGUUGUGUGAUUUGUCCAAGGCUUUGCAAAAGCCUAAGGCAAACUGAGAAAAGAAUCCACUUCUCUUGACCUUCUUGUCUGUGUCUUGUCUGCCAGGCUGCCUGUCUUCCUAGCAGCUGACAGAACUACUGACAAGGGCGAAGGCCAUAUUGAUCCUAUAGUUAGACACUGAAAAAACAUCAUUAUUUAGCAUCAGUUGGUUUCAGUAGGUGUCAUGUCCCUUGGACAGAAUUUGACACUUAGAAGUAUUAAUUUUUAAGCCGAAUUAUACCUACUGUGAUACCAAUAUCAGAACUUGAUAUGUUGCUGGUAAAUAAACGAUAACAAAUGCAAAAGAUUUUUUCAAAACAAAUAAAUAUAUCUGUGAUACAUAUGGUUCCUUUGACAGAUAAGGUGUAUGUAACUCUUCACUCUGCACACCAGUCUCAGGGAUACAGUAGCUCAUCAGUACAUGGCACAGAUGGAAAGCCAAAGAUCCCGCUGUGUCUCAGCAGCGCUGCGCAGGCAGUGGGACAAACCCCUUCUGUGGCACAUGCCCUCAGAACGCAGCUGCCUCCUCACUGGCUCAUCAGUCAGCACUGCAAAAGAAAGCAAAAUCAAUUGAAACCCCUCCAUUUCAGCAAGCUUAGUAUGAACAGGAGUGGAGGAGUGUGCAGCUGAUAACGUGCCCCCCUUUGUAGAGUCACUGUUCACCUCCCCACCCAAUUUCCAUUGUAAGAGCCUCUCAGGCCAUCUCCUGAUGGGCAGUGCUCCACUCAGGGGAAUUUGGACAGAGACUCAGAACAGCAACGUUUUGGAGCUGGGUAAUCUACAAUAGAAGGAGGAGGAAGAUAAGCACAUUGUUAGUUUCUGCUCAUAUGCAAUGAAAGCAGACAAAACAUCCAUCAUCCUGUACAAUAUUAGUCUUUAAAUAUUCAGCUUUAUCAGUUCCCCCAUUCCUAAUCCAUCAUUAACCACCCCAUGAAGUCUCAGCUGAUUAGCCCCACCUCUGCAGCUCAGCAAACCAUUAACUAUUUAUUAUUUGUAUUUAAUUGAACAUCAGUAGCAGUAGAAAACUCUAACCAGACACAUUUCAAAACCAGAACAAAGGAGAUGGUCCCCUGUCUAAGGAAUUCAUGGUUUGGACAAGAGUGAAAUGCAGCAAAGAGGAACUGACAGCCAUGCUGAACAAAGACUUACCCAUGUACCCUCUAUUAAAUUCCCCACCCCACAAAUUUCUAGAUUUUCUUUGGAUUCUUUUUUCAAUGAGAUCCAUCUCAGUAUCCCUUAAAAUCAGGGGUGAUGAUGGGAUUUAGGAGGGUCCUGAAGGGAAAAAAAUGGGAUUUUUUUAUGUUAGAUGAAAAUGGUUUGAAAAACUACCUAAAUCAUGAAAUAUUGAAUAUCAUGAAAUCAGGUAGUGAUAGAAACCAGGGAUUAUAGUUAUAGUAGGGCCAGGAAACUGGCAAACAUACACAACAUGCACAUUUUAUGUAGAUUUAAAUAAGUGGGAACAUUUCUCAGUUUAAAUGCUUCCUUCUCAGGGAUUAAAUAUAUGUAAUUUAUGAAGUGCUGUUUAUAUUUUGCUGAUUGCUAUUCAUAUGGGCAAUCGAAACAUAGAUACAAUUCUAAAUGUUUUUUUCUGCAGGUAGUCCUGGGUUUGGACACCUUUCUCUGUCUUUCUCUUUUUAUUACUUAGACUGGAAGCUAACGCUGGCUGCACAUUUCCUUUGAAGUAAACUUUGUAGAAGUCACUGGUGUCUUUGUUACCUCCACCUGGUUUUCUGUACCUUUCUAUUUAUGAGUCCCCUUUGAAACAUGCCUGAAAGAUCCAGUUCCCAAGAAAGCCACUACCCAGUCCCUGAGCAGAGCUGCACAGCACGAGCACUCUGCACCAGAGACUCAGCACUGGCUUGCUGUUUACUGAUCAACUUUAAAGCCCUGAGCACUGGAGGAAACAGUUUUCUAAGGGACUUCUCUCUACCUCUGUGCCCACUCACUGCCUUGCUACCAGGUAGAGUAUAAUGCCAGUCUGGGAACCAAGCUUAAUAUAUGAAAGUGAACAUGGCAGAUACAGGAAAAGUUGUUUUUUUUUUCAAUUUGAGUUGGAAAGCUCAAGUUAAAACCAUUUGAAUACAUCUUUGUAAUUCUGUGUCUGAACAAAAUAAUGUAUUUUUAGUAGCACUGACUAAAUGGCUUUGGGGAAAUUAAAAUGUAUCCAUCUAUAAUAUCUGUACUGUCUGUACACUUUACCCCAGUCUGUUAAAAAUAGGUAUUUUCCAGUACUAUUCCCUCUGCUUUUGAAUUUAUCCUGAUGUCAAUCUGUUGGAGACAAAGAGUGAUGACUCUCAGGGUACAAGAGGUGACGCAGUUAUAUUUACCUAGUUCUCGACUCACUUGCAUCUGUUCUCCUUUUAAUCCCUGUAAUUAAAAUGCCUGCCUGCCUCUUCAGUACACACUCUAAAGCAGUUUAUAUUUGGACAUCACAGCAAUCAUAGUUACUGCUGCAGAAGGACAAGAGGAAGACCAAUUGACUUAGGCCAGCACAGUUAAGAUAGAUAGUAUCUAUUCCUAUAGAAGGGAAAACAUAAGCUACUAAUGCAAAAUAGAAUAUGAGAGCAUUGAGUCAGAUGAAAGGAACAUUUAAAGUAGCACAGCCUGUCUCCCAUAAGAGCCAGAAUGAAAUGAUUAAGGCAACAGAAUGAGAAAUGAUGCAAAUAUGGAUAAGUAAGUUCUGUGGUAUGUCCACCCAGCUCCCACCUGAUUGCACUUUGGAGACUUCUUGAGCCAGAUGCUCUGUCAAGUCUAUCAUGUUUAAUAAAUGAAAAUGGAGCGAUUUCUCAGAUCUUCCAAGUCUGGCUUUUCCAAGCUCCUCUUUGAAGCUGUUUGGACCUUUUUCUCUCCAAACAUCCUGUGGACACUGUGUUCCCCAGUUCUUUUAUGUGUUAUGUAGAAGAACCUCACUUAAUUUAAUUUAUUUUAAGCUUCCUAUCUGCAUUCAGAACCAAUGAGGCAUGCCCAAACUAGUUUAAAAUAAUCUUGAACAACAUCUCCAUCCAUUUCUGUUUUAUUAGUUCCCCUCAUCUUCCUUCUUUCCUUUCUAAUGGCCUCUUUCUUUUAUCCUAAUUUCUAGAGGGUGCUACAAGCUAUAAAGGCAUCUAAUUUAUAAAUGCAUGUCUAUCACAUACCAAAAUUCAAAUGACUGAAAGCACAGCAGUCCUUCAGAGACAGAGUCUUCCACAAUGAUGUCACUUACUUGUAAGUUUAGUCUUAAACUUUGGCACCUCAGUUGCUUUAUGAGCUCUUGAGUGACAGUGACCUGAUUUUCAGAGGUGCUUAGCACCCACCAGCUCUUCAGGGGAGCUGCAGGCACUCCACAAGCACAAGAGAACACUUUUAUGCAAAGCAUCUGCCUGACUCUGGGCAUUCGAGUAUUAAAUUGUUACUCUGGAUUCAGCUUCACAGUGUAGUGACACAGGAAAUCAUCAGCCCUGGAGUGAAAUUAAGAGCCUUAGGACUGGCAGUGCAACCCUUAUUUAUUGUGAUUUAAGGUAAGUAGUAUUCUUUAAUUAAAUAUCACUAAAUGUGAAUCUUCCCGUUGUUUUUCAGGAUCAGUGGCAAACACUACAGAGAAGAAUAAUCCUACAGGUUUCAUGUACUAUAAAUGUACAGAUUUGCUGUAUCAGGAGUCCUGCUGGAACAUCUGAUUUUCAGCUUUGUAUCUGUUUCCACAGUAAAACACCAAAAUUUCAACUUACAUUUUCACCUGCACAGUCAUCUAAUAGAUACACUUUCCAUCUACCCUAUAAUUUUUUCUCUUUCUCUGUUCCUCUCUUGGAACUUGUUCAGACCUAUUCCCUAGCCAAAAGUGGGUGGGUUUUUUCCUUUCAGUGUACUCCUCUUUGCAUUUCUUUUUGCUUUCUCACCACCUUUCUAUGUGUCAGCCUUGUUCCACUUCUUCUCCCCGGUGGCAUUCAGAACUCCUGCUACUUUUGUACACUCUCACCAUUUUAAGCUGCUUUCCCACAUGCUGCUUUUCACGGAACACCUUCCAUCCACUGAUUUCCAAAGCACAGAUGCUUGUUCGCUUUCCGUGAUGGCAACAACAGCUCUGAAAGAAACAUAUCGUUUCCCCUCCUGCAAUUCAUGCACAAAUGCCUGGCAUGUGCUUGGAGAAAGCCUUUCAACUUUGAAUUUCCUUGCUUUUGUGGAAUCUGUGAAAAAGUCUGAUAAAUUACAGCUUUGGCAGUUAUUUCAAAUAACUUUAUUUGUAGCCAGCUGAGGUAAAAUCUGUCAAUGGUGCCAUCCCUGUGUUCUUUCAAAGGUUGUUGGUAUUUCAUGAGAGCUCAAAGUCAAGCUGGUUCAAAGGGAGGCUCACAUUUCAUUUUUUUCCAAGAAGGUUAGCUUACAUGUUCUAAUGGUGACAGGACUGUCUUACAAGACAUAAGAGCUGAGUUCUAGUUGAGGCCAUGAGUCUCUUCUAGUACAUAUGUUUUGUCACUUUAUCUCUCGCCUGAUGAUUUCUCAUCUGUGAAAUAGCUGUAAUACUAACUGAUAGUUGUAAUAUUAGUUAACAACAGACAAGAAUGCCCCAAUGAAUCAUAUGGGUGGCAAGGUUCUGGAGUUGGCCAUGGACCUGGUUUUAGUGUUGACAGUUUGGGCAAAGCCAGUGAACCUCAGUCUACAGCUCCUCUCAUCUGAGCUCAAGACACCAGCUGUGACACACAGUGUGCAGCAGGAAACUUCUCACAUUGUCCUGAGGGCUGAGAGGAAGAAAUAAUACAGAGCCUUGGCUUUGCAAGCCACUGCUGCCUGAUUUUGCAGGAAUGGUGGUGUACCUGGGGACCUCUAGUGAUAAUCAGAAUAAACACCGGUAUGGCAGGGUUUGCCACGUGUUUGAGCAGGAUUUCAGUGCACGCUAAGGAACAUAAGCAUGGUGUUCCUGAGCCUCAACUCCCAGAAGUUGUCCAAAGCUGAAGUCUCAUGGCAAGCAUUUGCUGAGCCAUCUGGGUAGGAUGGAAGUUACCUGUGACUGUCUCUCAUCUGCACCCUCUGGUGACCUGAAAACGAGUAGUGAAAACAUGUCAAUUCCACUUAACCCAGUAGCACUGUGAUAAGAAAUCAAUAGCCACACCUGACUUCAAGAAUCUUGGAUGGAGAAGGAUACAAACGCUGAUCAUGUUUGAAGGUGAAAGAUCCUGUAUGUGUAGAGAAGGAUUCCAAGAACUGUCUUUGAGAAAAAUCUACUUACGAAAGAAAAAAGAGGAGGGAUACUUCUUAGGAAGAAGUUGACGUAGAGUACUGUACCAGUAUUUUCAAGAAUCAGCAAAAUUAAUCUAUUAAAAAAAAAAAAAGAGUGAAGUCAAAAGGAGAACUUUCUGCUAUAUUCCAAUCCCACAGAAUCUCUGCCCCUUUUCUUCUGCCGUUAUAGUAUCUGGGAGAGUUGCCUAUUUAUUAAACUAAACUCAAGAAGACUCUCUCCUGCCUUUUUCUGUACGGAGAAGAGAAAUAAUCAGAAGGGGAGGAAAAAGUCAUUGUCAAGAGAUGAACAGCCUCUAAUCGUCUAAGGAAACUCUGGAUUGAGAUUAGUAUCCACAGCAGAAAGGAAUCUACAGACACUACUGUGUGCGAGCAACGCUGUGGGCGUUUGUCCAAGCUCAGGAACGAGUGGAAUGUACCCCUUCUCCAAGGUGAAAGACUGCAUAGACAUAUGUUUUCCACGGUGACUGGCAUUACCAAGCAACCUGAUGGAGAGCUGACAACACCUUGGCAAGCAGGGAAUAAUACGGUAAAUUAUCAGCAAUAUUAAGAGAACCCAGUUAUGAGCCUCACCUUUACUGCGGCCUGCGACGUCUGGGGCUGCUACUUGGGAAAAAAAAAAGAAAAAGAGAAAACAACCUCCCUUUUUACCUUCAGCUUCCCCCCUUUCCCCCCGUGUGUGUGGGUGGACGUGUGGGUUUAUACGUGCAUAAUCGCACGC